GAUGAAGAACGUAGCGAAAUGCGAUAAGUAAUGUGAAUUGCAGAAUUCAGUGAAUCAUCGAAUCUUUGAACGUACCUUGCACCCUUUGGCAUUCUGAAGGGUAUGCUCGUUUGAGUGUCAUUGUACUCUCACACUCCCGAUCUUUGCAUUGGGAGCAGUGGACUUGGGUUUGCUGCUUCACCGUCGCUUACCUCAAAUAGGUUAGUGCAACUCUUGGUUGGACAUAGUACGGCGUGAUAAGUGUUCUUCGCCGGUGCCUCGCAAAGAGGGUGGCCGAUCGGGAUGUUGUGCUCCAAACCGUCUUCGGACAAUCUCUGACGACUUGACCUCAAAUCGAGUAAGACUACCCGCUGAACUUAAGCAUAUCAAUAAGCGGAGGA
RNAcentral lists this unclassified non-coding RNA (380 nucleotides) under soil metagenome. Its description in RNAcentral is "partial contains 5.8S ribosomal RNA, internal transcribed spacer 2, and large subunit ribosomal RNA". The stretch from base 1 to 120 matches the Rfam family "5.8S ribosomal RNA", at positions 35 to 154 of the family's 154-position model. The record is from RNAcentral.